GUGUACAAGAAGACUACUGUUCGAGUGGUACGGACGCGUAAGUGCUUCAACAUUGGGCUCAUUUUUGGAGUCUUGCGGGUGGUUUUAGAACCAGAGGCGUCUUUUUAUAUUGCAGCUAGGAAUAGCUGGGAGUGUUUUCGUUAGUGGCCGUCGUUCGGUUCCGCUGAGAAAAUGAGCAGCUACGGUAGGCCGCCGCCAGACGUGGAGGGGAUGACCUCCCUCAAAGUGGAUAACCUGACUUACCGGACGUCGCCGGAGACGCUGCGCCGUGUGUUCGAGAAGUACGGCCGGGUGGGCGACGUGUACAUCCCGCGGGACAGGUACACGAAGGAGAGUCGCGGCUUCGCCUUCGUGCGCUUCUUGGACAAGCGCGACGCCGAGGAUGCCAUGGACGCCAUGGACGGAGCGCUGCUCGACGGACGCGAGCUCCGCGUGCAAAUGGCCCGCUACGGACGGCCGCCCGAUUCCAUGUACAGCCGGAGAGGUGCUCCGCCGCGACGGCGUUCAGCGAGCCCUCGCCGCCGCAGGCGCAGUCGUUCCAGGAGCAGGAGCCGCUCCAGGAGCCGCCGUCGCUACAGCCGCUCCAGGUCCCGCUCCUACUCCCGUUCCAGGUCUCGGUCCAAGUCCAGGACUCCCAGGCGAAGCAAGUCCAAGACCCCCUCCAGGUCAAGGAGCCGGACCCCGGCGUCCAACCGCGCGUCCCGAUCCAGGUCCAAGUCCAAGAGUCGACCCAAGUCUCCGGAGGACAACGGGACGGAGCCUUAGCCUAAAGUCGGAUGCGACGUGACGGUAUUUAGCGGGAUGGGUGGAAUGUCAAUGAAUACAUACGUGAACAGAUGCUGAGUGUUCUGCUGUCUUGAGGUUGUGUUUUGUGAAGAGAAAAAAUUAUCAUAAGCAACCAAGUCAGCAAAACUGUGACUAUUUUAGAAAUGCAAUAACCAAGAUUAAUUUUUCUGAAGCAUGUGUGUUCUUAAAGUCAAUCUAAAACACAUGCAAACGAGGGUUUGAAUUGGGCUAAUGUGAGUGUAUAUGGGUGUGCUUCACUCCAAACGUUCACCUAAAUGUGGAAUUCUUUCCUCCAAGCUGCUGAGUCCUGUUUGCAAAGAGAGGAGGAGGAGAUGGGGGUGUGGCAGUAUGAGAGCAGUUGUAGUGUGUGACCCGCCCAUGUCACCUGCCUGUUGCUGGGGGGGCGAUGGCAGUUGCUCGGGAGCAGGUCACCCAGGCAACGCUUGGUUGCUCAGGAGCAGGUCGCCACGGCGGUGGUUGCGGGGCUGUCAGUUGGUGUUUGUGGUGUUGGUGAGGUACGUUCGCGGGGCCGUGGGCAGGCGUGCCCGGGGCUGGUGCCCCCCCCCCCCCCUGCCUCCUGUGCUUUGCCCUCCUGCCUCUCAACCCAAAGGUUUGUUUUUAAAUAACGUCCAGAGUGCAAGAGUCCUGUGUAGAGCUAGACUUUUGGGAAUGUGGUACUCCGGAAGGUGCGUAAACUUCAUAACUGAGGUGCGCUCGCACAGUGUUAAAUAUUUGGGUUCGGAGUUAAGAUGGCAUCUUUUCGGGUGUUCUCUUGUUAAUUCCGAUCCCUCUUCUCUUGCAGAUUUCUCAGACAAUUACUCCUUUUUGCUGAGGACAUCGGGAUGAGUCUCGCCACGUUCAAGGGGACUCCACUAUUGCCACUGAACGCAGACUGAAAGGCGCAGUUGUGUAGCAGUUGAGUAAUGCUGGUUAGCUGUUAAGAUGCGGUGCAGUGCGGUGGUGACAUGGUGUGGCGUGUUGCGGUGCUGAGUGCCCGGGCACUGUUCCGGGGCGCUCGACCCUCCGCUGCUGUUUACCGGUUUGUAAGCUCACAGGUGUGGCAGAUUUUUUUUUUUUUUUUUUUUUUCCCCAUCCCCUCCCUCCUCGUCCUGACGACCUCUUGAGUCCCCCUCCUGUGUGCUUUACAGCUCUUUAUCCCUUUUUAUAUUUCCUCUACCCAUGUCUGGUUCAUCUUUUUUUUUUUUUUUGGGGUCCAGUGUGGCUCACGGUCUAAGGGUUGAUAAUUUAAGAAAGAAUAACUGCAGUUCCAGAUGUCUCGUCACACCUUUUUGUGCAACGCAUUCCCAGUUAACCUCUUGGAUUUUCUUUAGGUGGAUGCUAAUAAACGUAUUUGUUGAAAAUGA
Syngnathoides biaculeatus (alligator pipefish) is the source of this 2150-nucleotide RNA transcript. It is a transcript of the gene named serine and arginine rich splicing factor 2a, with no coding region annotated. The record is from RefSeq and is a predicted model, not a curated record. Lineage: Eukaryota; Metazoa; Chordata; Actinopteri; Syngnathiformes; Syngnathidae. The transcript is spliced from 3 exons.